GGGGAUUUAGCUCAGUGGUAGAGCGCUUGCCUAGCAAGCGCAAGGCCCUGGGUUCGGUCCCCAGCUCUGGGAAAAAAAAAAAAAAAAGAACACUGACUCCUCUUCCAGAAGUUCUGAGUUCAAUUCCCAGCAUCCACA
This 138-nucleotide transfer RNA is filed under the name Rattus norvegicus (Norway rat). It matches the Rfam family "tRNA". From Rfam's summary of the family: Transfer RNA (tRNA) molecules are approximately 80 nucleotides in length. Their secondary structure includes four short double-helical elements and three loops (D, anti-codon, and T loops). Lineage: Eukaryota; Metazoa; Chordata; Mammalia; Rodentia; Muridae. The record is from Rfam by way of RNAcentral.